GUCUUCUGACGCGCUAUGUGAAAAAUUGACUAUUAAGUUUGAUCGAUAUAUAUAUACACUCAAACAGUAUAGGCCUAUAGGGUAUCACCAGAACAAUAAUUAUGAAGGUCAAGUUCUGUUUGAUUGCUUCGCUUUUGAUUCUCUCUUUGGCGAUUUCGUCAUACGUCGUUUUAGUUCAAUCAUACGAAUCCGAAGAAGAAACAAUAGCAGAAACGAUCCACAUUCGAAAGAUAAUGAAGAUCGGAGCUCCUCGUAGUAAAUCACCACCCGAUCGCCAGUGGGGUGGGAGUGACUCGCCACUACCCGGAUAGGUCCAAGUUCACACUAAGGCGAUGGCUAUACGAGUUGUGGUUACAUCGUAUAAUCUCAAAUAUAUAUAUAUGCUCCUGAUUUGUGAACCUUAUUUAGUUUAUGCAAACUACAAGAUACUUAAAAAGAAAACCAAUGGCCAGUUCCAAUGUGUUUUUGAUUAUUUUUCCGAAUCCCUAAAUGUUUGUUUGUUUGUGUUUCUUGGGGAGUUCUCCAUACAAAAUUUUGUCAACGAACCAAGCUGUCACCUAAUU
Camelina sativa (false flax) is the source of this 563-nucleotide non-coding RNA. The record is from RefSeq and is a predicted model, not a curated record. Lineage: Eukaryota; Viridiplantae; Streptophyta; Magnoliopsida; Brassicales; Brassicaceae.